This 253-nucleotide ribosomal RNA is filed under the name uncultured bacterium. RNAcentral's name for it is "partial 16S ribosomal RNA". It matches the Rfam family "Bacterial small subunit ribosomal RNA", at positions 524 to 776 of the family's 1533-position model. The record is from RNAcentral.
UACGGAGGGGGCUAGCGUUGUUCGGAAUUACUGGGCGUAAAGCGCGCGUAGGCGGCUUUGUAAGUUAGAGGUGAAAGCCCGGAGCUCAACUCCGGAACUGCCUUUAAGACUGCAUCGCUAGAAUUGUGGAGAGGUGAGUGGAAUUCCGAGUGUAGAGGUGAAAUUCGUAGAUAUCAGGAAGAACACCAAUGGCGAAGGCAGCUCUCUGGGACGGUACUGACGCUGAGACGCGAAAGCGUGGGGAGCGAACAGG